UACGGGGGGAGCAAGCGUUGUUCGGAUUUACUGGGCGUAAAGGGCGCGUAGGCGGUAGCACAAGUCAGUUGUGAAAUCUCCGGGCUUAACUCGGAAAGGUCAACUGAUACUGUGCGACUAGAGUGCAGAAGGGGCAACUGGAAUUCUCGGUGUAGCGGUGAAAUGCGCAGAUAUCAGGAGGAACACCAAUGGCGAAGGCAGCUCGCUGGGACGGUACUGACGCUGAGACGCGAAAGCGUGGGGAGCAAACAGG
This 253-nucleotide ribosomal RNA is filed under the name uncultured bacterium. RNAcentral describes it as "partial 16S ribosomal RNA". It matches the Rfam family "Bacterial small subunit ribosomal RNA", at positions 524 to 776 of the family's 1533-position model. The record is from RNAcentral.